RNAcentral lists this ribosomal RNA (911 nucleotides) under Marinilabilia sp. FdP-HMN_10-2-6. Its description in RNAcentral is "bacterial SSU rRNA". It matches the Rfam family "Bacterial small subunit ribosomal RNA", at positions 391 to 1306 of the family's 1533-position model. Lineage: Bacteria; Pseudomonadati; Bacteroidota; Bacteroidia; Marinilabiliales; Marinilabiliaceae. The record is from RNAcentral.
GCCAUGUCGCGUGCAGGAUGACUGCCCUAUGGGUUGUAAACUGCUUUUAUACGGGAAGAAAGGUAUCUACGUGUAGAUAUUUGCCGGUACCGUACGAAUAAGCAUCGGCUAACUCCGUGCCAGCAGCCGCGGUAAUACGGAGGAUGCGAGCGUUAUCCGGAUUUAUUGGGUUUAAAGGGUGCGUAGGCGGAAUGGUAAGUCAGCGGUGAAAUACUGCAGCUCAACUGAAGAACUGCCGUUGAUACUGUCAUUCUUGAGUAUAGAUGAGGUAGGCGGAAUGAGUAGUGUAGCGGUGAAAUGCAUAGAUAUUACUCAGAACACCAAUUGCGAAGGCAGCUUACUAAACUAUAACUGACGCUGAAGCACGAAAGCGUGGGUAUCAAACAGGAUUAGAUACCCUGGUAGUCCACGCCGUAAACUAUGAUUACUGGUUGUUUGCGAUACACAGUAAGCGACUGAGCGAAAGCAUUAAGUAAUCCACCUGGGGAGUACGUUGGCAACAAUGAAACUCAAAGGAAUUGACGGGGGCCCGCACAAGCGGUGGAACAUGUGGUUUAAUUCGAUGAUACGCGAGGAACCUUACCUGGGCUUAAAUGGGGAGUGACGGAUGUGGAAACAUGUCUUUCUUCGGACACUCUUCAAGGUGCUGCAUGGUUGUCGUCAGCUCGUGCCGUGAGGUGUCGGGUUAAGUCCCAUAACGAGCGCAACCCCUGUUGUCAGUUACCAGCAUGUAAAGAUGGGGACUCUGACAAGACUGCCGGUGUAAACCGCGAGGAAGGUGGGGAUGACGUCAAAUCAGCACGGCCCUUACGUCCAGGGCUACACACGUGUUACAAUGGCCAGUACAAAGGGCAGCUACACAGCAAUGUGAUGCUAAUCUCGAAAACUGGUCCCAGUUCGGAUUGUAGUCU